Molecule: ribosomal RNA, 402 nt
Filed under: uncultured bacterium
Lineage: Bacteria
Description: bacterial SSU rRNA
Rfam family: Bacterial small subunit ribosomal RNA
Source: RNAcentral
UAGGGAAUAUUGGUAAUGUGCGAAAGCGCGAACCAGCAACGCCGCGUGUGCGAUGACGGCCUUCGGGUUGUAAAGCACUUUUCGGGAGGAAGAGGAAGGACUGUACUCCCGGAAUAAGUCUCGGCUAACUACGUGCCAGCAGCCGCGGUAAUACGUAGGAGGCUAACGUUAUCCGGAUUUACUGGGCGUAAAGCGCGUGUAGGCUGUUCAAUAAGUUGGGCGUGAAAGCUCCCGGCUCAACUGGGAGAGGUCGUUCAAUACUGUUGGACUAGAGGAUGGUAGAGGGAGGUGGAAUUCCGGGUGUAGUGGUGAAAUGCGCAGAUAUCCGGAGGAACACCAGUGGCGAAAGCGGCCUCCUGGACCAUUCCUGACGCUCAGACGCGAAAGCUAGGGUAGCAAACG